CCCUGUGGACCGCCUUUUCAGUUUAAAAAAAUAAAAAAAAUGAUGGAAAUGUCGAAAAAUAAAAGAAAAUAAGUUUCCCAUGUGAUAUGUGGUCUAGUUGUUGUGAAAAUUUACGAACAUGAAUUUCGACUUAUUUGCAAAAUCUCUCGAGAAUUUGUAAAAUGGGCAUAACUUUUGCAUACGAACUCGGAUGAAAAAGUUUUUUAUAUGAAAAAUCAUCUACUCGAAAAGAUACAUCCGAAUUUAACAGGGGGAAUCCCGUUAAACAUUUUCAAAAUCCUCAAAAACCUACCAGAAAAAAAGAUACGGGGCUUUUAAGAUCUGGAGAGGCAAAAAAAUUCAAAAAAA
This 348-nucleotide long non-coding RNA is filed under the name Triticum aestivum (bread wheat). RNAcentral's name for it is "long non-coding RNA (TAES_LNC013129)". Lineage: Eukaryota; Viridiplantae; Streptophyta; Magnoliopsida; Poales; Poaceae. The record is from RNAcentral.